GUAGGUGAACCUGCGGAAGGAUCAUUAUUGAAUUCGAGUCUGCUGCCCCCCCUUUUUUGGGGGGGGGGGGCGGAUUUAUUUCUUGUGAAUUGGGAAUUUUGCAAACUUGGUUAAACUUGCGCGCAACUUUUUGCUUUUAUUCGUAUUUUUAUUUUUAUUUUUUUAUUAUUAUAUACAAUGAAAAAAAAAAAGACAACUUUCAGCAAUGGAUCUCUUGGCUCUU
RNAcentral lists this unclassified non-coding RNA (223 nucleotides) under rhizosphere metagenome. RNAcentral's name for it is "partial ribosomal RNA internal transcribed spacer region". The record is from RNAcentral.